Molecule: ribosomal RNA, 497 nt
Filed under: uncultured bacterium
Lineage: Bacteria
Description: partial 16S ribosomal RNA
Rfam family: Bacterial small subunit ribosomal RNA
Source: RNAcentral
GACGAACGCUGGCGGCGUGCCUAAUACAUGCAAGUAGAACGCUGAAGCUUGGUGCUUGCACCGAGCGGAUGAGUUGCGAACGGGUGAGUAACGCGUAGGUAACCUGCCUGGUAGCGGGGGAUAACUAUUGGAAACGAUAGCUAAUACCGCAUAACAGUAGAUAUCGCAUGAUAGCUACUUGAAAGGUGCAAAUGCACCACUACCAGAUGGACCUGCGUUGUAUUAGCUAGUUGGUGAGGUAACGGCUCACCAAGGCAACGAUACAUAGCCGACCUGAGAGGGUGAUCGGCCACACUGGGACUGAGACACGGCCCAGACUCCUACGGGAGGCAGCAGUAGGGAAUCUUCGGCAAUGGACGGAAGUCUGACCGAGCAACGCCGCGUGAGUGAAGAAGGUUUUCGGAUCGUAAAGCUCGGUUGUAAGAGAAGAACGAGUGUGAGAGUGGAAAGUUCACACUGUGACGGUAUCUUACCAGAAAGGGACGGCUAACUACGUG